GACGAACCGAGCGAACGUUGUUCGGAAUCACUGGGCUUAAAGGGCGCGUAGGCGGGCGGCUAAGUCUGUGGUGAAAUCCUCCAGCUCAACUGGAGAACUGCCAUGGAUACUGGUCGUCUCGAGGAACGUAGGGGUAUGCGGAACUAUCGGUGGAGCGGUGAAAUGCGUUGAUAUCGAUAGGAACUCCGGUGGCGAAGGCGGCAUACUGGACGUUUUCUGACGCUGAGGCGCGAAAGCCAGGGGAGCAAACGGG
Molecule: ribosomal RNA, 253 nt
Filed under: uncultured bacterium
Lineage: Bacteria
Description: partial 16S ribosomal RNA
Rfam family: Bacterial small subunit ribosomal RNA
Source: RNAcentral